GACGAACGCUGGCGGCGUGCUUAACACAUGCAAGUCGAACGGAAAGGCCCUGCUCUUGCGGGGCGCUCGAGAGGCGAACGGGUGAGUAACACGUGUGUAUCACGUCCCUGUCUUUCGGAUAACUCCUGGAAACAGGGGCUCAUACCGCAUAUGAGCUUUUGCUGCAUGUUGUGGGAUGGAAAGUUUCGGCGGUUGGGGAUGGACUCGCGGCUUAUCAGCUUCUUUGUCGGGUAGUGGCUUACCAAGCCUAUGAAGGAUAGCCGGCCUGAGAGGGUGACCGGCCACAUUGGGACUGAGGUACGGCCCAGACUGCUACGGGAGGCAGCAGGGGAGAAUAUGGCACAAUGGGCGGAAGCCUGAGGCAGCAACGCCGCGUGCGGGAUGACGGGUUUCUAGUUGUAAACCGCUUUCGCCUGAAACGAGGCGUGAGUGACGGUAAUGGGUAAGGAAGCAACGGCUAACUACGUG
RNAcentral lists this ribosomal RNA (468 nucleotides) under uncultured bacterium. RNAcentral describes it as "partial 16S ribosomal RNA". It matches the Rfam family "Bacterial small subunit ribosomal RNA", at positions 28 to 507 of the family's 1533-position model. The record is from RNAcentral.